Molecule: long non-coding RNA, 204 nt
Filed under: Brassica napus (rape)
Lineage: Eukaryota; Viridiplantae; Streptophyta; Magnoliopsida; Brassicales; Brassicaceae
Description: long non-coding RNA (BNAP_LNC010647)
Source: RNAcentral
AGGCCCGGCCCUGAAAUAUUUUGGACCAGAAGCUCAAAAAUAUUGAAAGCUAAAAAUGUAGCCUGAUCUCAUCGAACCUGUGACCUCGUAGGAUAAGUGCAAGACAUAUACCAACAGAGCUACACAAGAUUUUGUUAUUCUACGGCCGGAAAUUUACUUAACAUUUAUCAGGCCGGAAGCACAUGCUUCCAUUGCUUCCCCUCA